UCAGCUGGCAUUGACGCAACAUAAAAUCUCAUGUUCUUGGCAGACAAGACUGGGAGAUGGGGAGUUGGCCACAAGACUAGCAGUACUGCAGGAAGAAGUUGGAGAAGAGCCUUUCCCUAGACUCCCCAACAAAACAGGGGAAGUGACUAGAAUCUGCUUCCCCUGGCAACAGAGCACACUGGGCCAAGGUUUCGAGAAGAAGAGGAGAUGGAGAAAUGGCCC
RNAcentral lists this long non-coding RNA (222 nucleotides) under Mustela putorius furo (domestic ferret). RNAcentral's name for it is "lncRNA (ENSMPUG00000029116.1)". Lineage: Eukaryota; Metazoa; Chordata; Mammalia; Carnivora; Mustelidae. The record is from RNAcentral.